Molecule: ribosomal RNA, 121 nt
Filed under: Scophthalmus maximus (turbot)
Lineage: Eukaryota; Metazoa; Chordata; Actinopteri; Pleuronectiformes; Scophthalmidae
Source: RNAcentral
GCUUAUGGCCACACCGCCUGGUUCACGGCUGAUCUCGUUUGAUCUCGGAAGCUAUGAUAGGUUGGGCCUGGUUAGUACUUUGGAUGGGAGACCGCCUGGGAAAUACCAGGUGUUGUAAGAU